UGGGGAAUUUUGGACAAUGGGCGAAAGCCUGAUCCAGCAAUGCCGCGUGUGUGAAGAAGGCCUUCGGGUUGUAAAGCACUUUUGUCCGGAAAGAAAUCCUUGGCUCUAAUACAGUCGGGGGAUGACGGUACCGGAAGAAUAAGCACCGGCUAACUACGUGCCAGCAGCCGCGGUAAUACGUAGGGUGCAAGCGUUAAUCGGAAUUACUGGGCGUAAAGCGUGCGCAGGCGGUUUGCUAAGACCGAUGUGAAGUCCCCGGGCUCAACCUGGGAACUGCAUUGGUGACUGGCAGGCUAGAGUAUGGCAGAGGGGGGUAGAAUUCCACGUGUAGCAGUGAAAUGCGUAGAGAUGUGGAGGAAUACCGAUGGCGAAGGCAGCCCCCUGGGCCAAUACUGACGCUCAUGCACGAAAGCGUGGGGAGCAAACAGGAUUAGAUACCCUGGUAGUCCACGCCCUAAACGAUGUCAACUAGUUGUUGGGGAUUCAUUUCCUUAGUAACGUAGCUAACGCGUGAAGUUGACCGCCUGGGGAGUACGGUCGCAAGAUUAAAACUCAAAGGAAUUGACGGGGUCAUAGCUGUUUCC
This 584-nucleotide ribosomal RNA is filed under the name uncultured bacterium. RNAcentral describes it as "partial 16S ribosomal RNA". It matches the Rfam family "Bacterial small subunit ribosomal RNA", at positions 355 to 937 of the family's 1533-position model. The record is from RNAcentral.